RNAcentral lists this ribosomal RNA (457 nucleotides) under uncultured bacterium. RNAcentral describes it as "partial 16S ribosomal RNA". It matches the Rfam family "Bacterial small subunit ribosomal RNA", at positions 338 to 795 of the family's 1533-position model. The record is from RNAcentral.
CCUACGGGAGGCAGCAGUGGGGAAUAUUGCACAAUGGGGGAAACCCUGAUGCAGCGACGCAGCGUGAGUGAAGAAGUAUUUCGGUAUGUAAAGCUCUAUCAGCAGGGAAGAAACCCACCCUCCGGGGUGGCUGACGGUACCUGACUAAGAAGCCCCGGCUAACUACGUGACAGCAGCCGCGGUAAUACGUAGGGGGGAAGCGUUAUCCGGAUUUACUGGGUGUAAAGGGAGAGUAGGUGGGAAGGCAAGUCAGUGGUGAAAACCCCGGGGCCAACCCCGGGAGUGCAUUUGAAACUGUCUGGCUAGAGUGCAGGAGAGGUAAGUGGAAUUCCUGGUGUAGCGGUGAAAUGCAUAGAUAUUAGGAGGAACACCAGUGGCGAAGGCGGCUUACUGGACUGUAACUGACACUGAGGCUCGAAAGCGUGGGGAGCAAACAGGAUUAGAUACCCCAGUAGUC